RNAcentral lists this ribosomal RNA (119 nucleotides) under Naegleria gruberi. Lineage: Eukaryota; Heterolobosea; Eutetramitea; Acrasida; Naegleriidae. The record is from RNAcentral.
GACUACGGCCAUAUCACGAUGAAUGCACCUCAUCCCGUCCGAUUUGAGAAGUUAAGCAUCGUCGAGCCACAUCAGUGCUAAGGUUGGAGACAACUUGGGAACCUGUGGUGCUGUAGUCU